This is a long non-coding RNA of Oreochromis aureus, 811 nucleotides long. RefSeq lists it as uncharacterized. Lineage: Eukaryota; Metazoa; Chordata; Actinopteri; Cichliformes; Cichlidae. The record is from RefSeq and is a predicted model, not a curated record. The transcript has 4 exons.
UCCUAGGAGGUUAAAUCCCAUUUGUUUUAUAUUUUCCUCUUCUGGAGCACUUGGCAGCAAAAAUCAUCCUGCAGGAAUAGAUUUCACCUAAGCAGGUAAAUGAUUCUCGUAUAGUCUACCUAAAAUCAGGUCUUGAAAAGGUCUUUUAAACCCAGUGACUCUUUUUUUUCCGAAUUUGUUUUCUUAUGAGGGGGGUAUUAAUUCCAACAAGUCAUUGGGAUGUUAUUUAUGAUUAAAGUGGACCUAAUAAACUAAUUUCCAGCUCUGUAUUUUUAUUCUUGGAUUGUACCAGGGUAGCUCUCCAUAAUUCCUUAAGUAUGAAACAACCCAAUCUGGCUCCCUUAAGGCAACUUUCUUCUGAUUGGUGGCCCCUCCCAAACAGCAGGUGGGUGGAGCUUCCAGGCACACAACUAGAGCUGUACUCUGCAGAUGACCGUACAUCACAGAGCCAAGAGCAGAAAGAAAAACUGUGAUGGAGUGUGGCUGCCUUCAUUGACAGCUUCAGCCAACAGCUGUCAGAGAGGCCUCACCUCAGCUGAAGUCACUUAACUUGACCCCUUGACUGUCCGGAUUUCUCUUUUGGCAACUGUUGCACGUUAGAAAAAAACUGCACUGAGCCACAAGAGGCCACGUCUGAUCUCUCUGUGAGAAGACGAGUCCAAAGGAGGAGCAUGAAUAUUCAACAGAAUAAUGCAGGUGUUUUUUCUACCUGUGGAUGCCGGAGCACUCGAUGCACAGCAGGAUGCCCAGGUUGAUUGAGGCCCAGCGAGGGUCGGCCUGACCGCAGUCGCAGCACUGCUCGUUCCCCGGC